RNAcentral lists this ribosomal RNA (1871 nucleotides) under Candidatus Zambryskibacteria bacterium RIFCSPHIGHO2_01_FULL_44_22b. Its description in RNAcentral is "bacterial LSU rRNA". It matches the Rfam family "Bacterial large subunit ribosomal RNA", at positions 1298 to 2289 of the family's 2925-position model. Lineage: Bacteria; Candidatus Zambryskiibacteriota. The record is from RNAcentral.
UGGCACAAGUAACCACAAUGCGGGUGAGAAACCCGCACGCCGAAAGAACAAGGUUUCCCUCUCAACGUUUGUCGGAGAGGGGUUAGUCGGGCCUAAGGAAAUGGCGAGAGCCGCAUCCGAUGGACACACGGUUAAUAUUCCGUGACUGCAUUUCGAAGUGAUGGGAGGACGGGGGUAAGUAUGUGUCGCGCAUUAUUGGAUUUGACGUCCGUGCUUUGAGGAAGGUUUCUAGGAAAAUCCGGAAACCAAUAUUCCAAGAAGAGCGGAAAGGUUCGGGUUCGCCCGGGCCAAUGACGCAAAGCUACUCUCCUAGAAAAUUCUCUAAACUUAUUCGAGAUGCAACCGUACCGCAAACUGAAACAAGUGUUCUCGUCGAGAAGACGUAGGCGAACGAGUGAGAGGUUCCCAAGGAACUCGGCAAAAAAGCAGCCGUAACCUCGGAAUAAGGCUUCCCAGCACCACUUUUUGGUUUUAAGAUGUAGAUAUGUACAGCGUAUACACAUUACAACACUCAAUUACCAAAGAGUUAUAUUUUGGAAAAACAAAUAAUUUGAAGCGACGAUUAGAAGAACAUAAUAGUGGUAACCAGACUGCUACACAUAGACAGAGUGGCGAUUGGGUACCAGUUUACGUUGAAAUCUAUCGCUCGAAAGUAGAUGCAGACAGGAGAGAAGACAGAUUGAAACAGCAUGGUAGAGCAAAGCAAGAAUUAGUAAAAAGAAUUCAAUCGUCGCUUCUAAAUUAAAACCAAAAAGUGGUGCUGGGCGCAGCUAAAGUUUCUCUGGCAACUGUUUACCAAAAACACAGCUCCCUGCGAACUCGCAAGAGGAUGUAUAGGGGGUGACACCUGACCAAUGCCAGAAGGUUAAACAUGGGUGGUCUUAUUAUCUUCGGAUAACAAGGCUCGGUUAUGUAAGCCCUGGUGAAUGUCGGCCGUAACUAUAACGGUCCUAAGGUUCUGGAACUUUGUAAAGCAAGGUUUCAGAAGGACUGGGACUGUUUAGAUACGGAAUAAACAGUUGAAUGUAAAUGCACAAUUCGUGCAAAGCUAUCUCUUCUUACAGUGAUGUAAGAAUGGUCCUAAAAAACACAUGGCUAUAUGCUGGGAAGUCCUGAGUUAAAUCGAAGGACGAUCAGCAGGGAAGAUAAGAUUAUCCAAUAGUGGAAAUAAGAAAUCAGGAGAGGCGCGGGAAUGUCAGACGGUCCUAUUAAGUAACUCCGCGAUCCUUACGAGGAACUCAGCUCUCUAGACACUGGAAAAAUUCCAGAUGGGAGAAGGCUCAAAGCGUUUAGCUGAGCAAUUGAGCUUCGAAAGCCUCUCUGAUGGGUGGGAAGUAUUUCCCUCCUGGUUGAGAAGUUGUGGUUAUAUGUACUGUCUAGGACUAGGGCAGAGACCACAGCUUCUCAAUCGAACUGUUCUUUAAUAUAAGACGAUUUAAUCAAAUCGUCUCCACUAUUGGGUAAUCUUAUCCCCUCAGAUACCACACGCUGUGCUUCCAAGUUUUUGGAAGAAGAUAUGGUACCGUUUUAAGGAAUAACGCAGCGAAAUUCCUUGUCUGGUAAGUUCAGACGCGCACGAAUGGUGUAAUGACUGGAGAACUGUCUCGGGAACUUGCUCGGUGAAAAUACAAUACCGGUGAAGAUGCCGGUUUCCUGCAGUUAGACGAAAAGACCCCAGGAGCUUUACUGCAACUUGAUAUUGAGCUUACGGUUACGAUGCGUAGCAUAGAUGGGAGACUUUGAUGGCGCGUUCUCGGAUGCGCCGGAGUCGUCAGUGAAAUACCAUUCUUCUAGAUUGUAAGUUCUAACCUCGACGGAAAAAACGGCGAGAAACAGUAUCUGGCGGGCAGUUUGAGUGGGGCGCUCUCCUU